CCUACGGGAGGCAGCAGUGGGGAAUAUUGCACAAUGGGCGCAAGCCUGAUGCAGCCAUGCCGCGUGUGUGAAGAAGGCCUUCGGGUUGUAAAGCACUUUCAGCGGGGAGGAAGGCGUUAAGGUUAAUAACCUUGUCGAUUGACGUUACCCGCAGAAGAAGCACCGGCUAACUCCGUGCCAGCAGCCGCGGUAAUACGGAGAGUGCAAGCGUUAAUCGGAAUUACUGGGCGUAAAGCGCACGCAGGCGGUCUGUCAAGUCGGAUGUGAAAUCCCCGGGCUCAACCUGGGAACUGCAAUCGAAACUGGCAGGCUAGAGUCUUGUAGAGGGGGGUAGAAUUCCAGGUGUAGCGGUGAAAUGCGUAGAGAUCUGGAGGAAUACCGGUGGCGAAGGCGGCCCCCUGGACAAAGACUGACGCUCAGGUGCGAAAGCGUGGGGAGCAAACAGGAUUAGAUACCCGGGUAGUC
RNAcentral lists this ribosomal RNA (465 nucleotides) under uncultured Klebsiella sp. RNAcentral describes it as "bacterial SSU rRNA". It matches the Rfam family "Bacterial small subunit ribosomal RNA", at positions 338 to 795 of the family's 1533-position model. Lineage: Bacteria; Pseudomonadati; Pseudomonadota; Gammaproteobacteria; Enterobacterales; Enterobacteriaceae. The record is from RNAcentral.